CCUACGGGUGGCAGCAGUGGGGAAUAUUGCACAAUGGGGGAAACCCUGAUGCAUCGACGCCGCGUGCGUGAUGAAGUAUUUCGGUAUGUAAAGCUCUAUCAGCAGGGAAGCAAAAAGACGGUACCUGACUAAGAAGCCCCGGCUAACGACGUUCCAGCAGCCGCGGUAAGACGUAGGGGGCAAGCGUUAUCCGGAUUUACUGGGGGUAAAGGGAGCGUAGACGGCGCGGCAAAUCUGAAGGUAAAGGCAGGGGCUUAACCCCUGAACAGCUUUGGAAACUGCCAAGCUAGAGUGCAAGAGAGGUAAGUGGAAUUCCUAGUGUAGCGGUGAAAUGCGUAGAGAUUAGGAGGAACACCAGUGGCGAAGGCGGCUUACUGGACAGUAACUGACGUUGAGGCUCGAAAGCGUGGGGAGCAAACAGGAUUAGAUACCCCUGUAGUC
This 441-nucleotide ribosomal RNA is filed under the name uncultured bacterium. RNAcentral describes it as "partial 16S ribosomal RNA". It matches the Rfam family "Bacterial small subunit ribosomal RNA", at positions 338 to 795 of the family's 1533-position model. The record is from RNAcentral.